UGCCCUGUACUUAUUCAAAAGUGUAAUUCCCUCAAGGAGUUAAAAAAUCUGUCCAUCAUAAACCUUUUUUUACCACCCUAGUGUGCAUUGAAGCAAGCUUUGUUAUAGUCAUUUGUUAUGUUAUGGUAAACAUAACCAUCGUAGAACUGCAGAGCUGGAAGGGACCCUAUGGAUCAUCAAGUCCAGCCCUCAUCAAGGAGGCACAGUGGGGAACUGAACACCCAACUUCUGGCUCUGCAGCCAGAUAUCUAAACCACUGAGCUAUCUAGCAGACCUUAAUUAGUUCUUGGCUAAUUACAGAUUCACAGAAUAGAAGACUUGGAAGGGCCCCUAAGGACCACCAAGUUGCUUAUCCCCUCAAAACAGGGAUUUCUAUUUGAUUAUUUUAAAUCAAUGUUUGCCAAUCUUGAGCCCUCAAAUGUUCUUCCAGUAAAAUUCCCAGAAGCCUUCACCACUAGCUGUGAGAUUUCUGGGAGCUAUCAUCCAAGAACAUCUGGGGACUCACGGUUGGGAACCACAGUUUUAAAUUAUAAAAUCUGUUUGGAAAUAUAAAACUGAAUUCAACUUUAAAAGCAAACCCUGUCCCCUUGUUUCUCUUUCAGUCUCCCUUUCUAGUUAAAAAUGAGAAAAUAAAAACUGGGUGUAGCUUGAAAGGUUUUGAUUCAAGUUUAAUUAACUUUGAAUUAAACUCAUCACAGCCUGCUUGGCUUUCCCACCUUCUGACCAUAUAUGGUCCCCCAAAGUGGCUCAGUCCUGAUAUUUCCCAGGAAAGCCAAUGACAUCAUCCUGACUUCCCAAUCUCACAAUGGUCUACAUCCACUUGGGUCAUAGUGCAACCCAUUACAAAAAAACUUGCCAUCCAUGGUGUUGGCUCAGUUGCCCUUGGGCUCUCCAGGGAUUGCAGCCUCUCUGAGGUUUGCCCAAUCCCAUGUAGAACAGGCACAAUCAAUUGGAACAGGCACCAUCAAAAGGAUGCCCAUGCUUUUUAGGUCCAAGCUCCAAGUCAGACAGAAGUGGAGGAACGAAGCCAUGGCUCUGGGCUACAGCCACACUUAGCUUAGAGCCGGGCAGCUUCUUGUGUUUCUUCUGUGAAGAGGACAUGGAGAAGACCCUGUCUGGAGAGAAAGCAAGAACUUGGUAUGUGGUUGACAAAUAGUGGUUGACCACUUCCCCUUUGUUUAAGUUGUACCAUGAUGUUGGGAUUGUACAUUGGAGAUGUCUUGUUGGUCUACUAUCUAGCCAUUUGACAGAGCUAUCUCCUGAUUAAUUCUGGGUUCAUGUUUCUCUUAGGAAGAGCACAUGUAGAAAACCUUAUCUAGACAGGAUCUAUGCAUCAAGUAGAGGUUACCAUCUCCUGGUUGUUCCCUUUGUGUUAUGCAUGAAAUUGGAGGUGUUUUCUGUCUACAAGCUAACCAUGUAUUCUGCUCUUUUAAGGUGUCAUACUUCACUGGGAGGCCGAGCAAAUGUCAAAGAGAACCUUUAAAUCACAUAUUUUGGCAGGGUAGGUAACAAUGUCAGUAACAAUGCCUUCAAUAAAUGACCCAUAAUUUGCCA
Long non-coding RNA from Pogona vitticeps (central bearded dragon), 1554 nucleotides. The record is from Ensembl. Lineage: Eukaryota; Metazoa; Chordata; Lepidosauria; Squamata; Agamidae.